This 1312-nucleotide long non-coding RNA is filed under the name Ananas comosus (pineapple). RNAcentral describes it as "long non-coding RNA (ACOM_LNC014798)". The record is from RNAcentral. Lineage: Eukaryota; Viridiplantae; Streptophyta; Magnoliopsida; Poales; Bromeliaceae.
AAUUAAUAUAGAGUAGUUUGUGAUUUCGGAUCGUCUCAAGAUCGCUGCAGCACUAGUAAAGAGAGCUUCUAGGAUACCUCAUUAAUAGUGCUGUAAGAAUUUUAAGACGAUUUAAUGAUUAAAAGGCACAAACAAAAAUGCUCCUGUGUUUUUAAAAGCAUAGGAGCUCAACUCUCUCUCUCUCUCUCUCUCUAUAGAUAGAGAGAGAGAGCAGGGCUGCUGUGCUCUCAGGAGCACGGAGGCCUUCGUGCUUCUGAACCGUUUUCGAUGAUGGAAUUUUCGAAUCGACGAUCGGCUCCGUUAGAUUUGAUCUAGAGUAUUUAAAGUUUCUAGAAAAUAAUUUUUGCGAUUUUUUGGUAUCAUUUACCUAGUAACCGAAAUGAUUCAAAAUCAAUAUUUUUUAAUGGUUGAUAUCUGCCGUUUUCAAGUUUAAAAGUGUAGAAGUAUUCAAAUCAGAUGAAAUUUUGAUACAAAAUUCUUUAUACUAUCUACAAAAAGAUUAAUAUUUUUGAUCGAAAAUUUUAAUGCUAUAUCAUCACUUUUUAUAGGAUUUUUAUUUUUAGCCGUUAAAAAUUAUUGAUUUUGAAUCCUUUCGAUUGCUAGGUAAAUAAUAUCAAAAAAUCGCAAAAAUUAAUUUUUUAAAAACUUCAAAUACGCUAGAUCAAGUCUAGCAAAGCCGAUCGUUGAUUCGAAAAUUCUAUCAUCAGAAACAGUUCAGGAGCACGGAAGCCUCCGUGCUUCCCUGCACCUGAGAGCACAUCAGUCCUGCUCUCUCUCUCUCUCUCUCUCUCUAUAGAUAGAGAGAGAGAGCAGGGCUGCUGUGCUCUCAGGAGCACGGAGGCCUUCGUGCUUCUGAACCGUUUUCGAUGAUGGAAUUUUCGAAUCGACGAUCGGCUCCGUUAGAUUUGAUCUAGAGUAUUUAAAGUUUCUAGAAAAUAAUUUUUGCGAUUUUUUGGUAUCAUUUACCUAGUAACCGAAAUGAUUCAAAAUCAAUAUUUUUUAAUGGUUGAUAUCUGCCGUUUUCAAGUUUAACGGUGUAGAAGUAUUCAAAUCAGAUGAAAUUUUAUACAAAAUUCUUUAUACUAUCUACAAAAAGAUUAAUAUUUUUGAUCGAAAAUUUUAAUGCUAUAUCAUCACUUUUUAUAGGAUUUUUAUUUUUAGCCGUUAAAAAUUAUUGAUUUUGAAUCCUUUCGAUUGCUAGGUAAAUAAUAUCAAAAAAUCGCAAAAAUUAUUUUUUAAAAACUUCAAAUACGCUAGAUCAAGUCUAGCAAAGCCGAUCGUUGAUUCGAAAAUUCUAUCAUCAGAAACAGUU